This 75-nucleotide transfer RNA is filed under the name Clostridiaceae bacterium. RNAcentral describes it as "tRNA-Asn". It matches the Rfam family "tRNA". Rfam says of the family: Transfer RNA (tRNA) molecules are approximately 80 nucleotides in length. Their secondary structure includes four short double-helical elements and three loops (D, anti-codon, and T loops). RNAcentral also lists the same sequence under 1 other name. The record is from RNAcentral. Lineage: Bacteria; Bacillati; Bacillota; Clostridia; Eubacteriales; Clostridiaceae.
UCCUCAGUAGCUCAAUGGCAGAGCACUCGGCUGUUAACCGAGGGGUUGUUGGUUCGAGUCCAACCUGGGGAGCCA